Molecule: non-coding RNA, 402 nt
Organism: Oryzias latipes (Japanese medaka)
Lineage: Eukaryota; Metazoa; Chordata; Actinopteri; Beloniformes; Adrianichthyidae
Source: RefSeq, a predicted model, not a curated record
AUUACAUGAACUCUUUCCACUUUUAACCACCUUUGUCAUGGUAGGGAGAACAUGUCAAUGCAAGGGUGGGGUGUUAUGGUGCCUGUCAGUCUUCUCCCCCUCCCCAUUCUGCUCUGCUCCUGACUCCACCAGCUGUGACCAAUCCACCUCAUCAGCCGCUGCAGCUCAAAAGGAGACCCAGCUCCAGUUUUCAACGCCAGUUCGUUGCCCCUUAUGGAUUCCUGCCUCCAAGUGUCACUUGUGGAAGUCAGAUCGAGCCCUCCUGCAUUCUUGUGGAAACACCACGCGCUGCCAAGCCGCGCUACCACCUCCAGCCAUGCUUCAAGCCGCAUUCCUCAUCAGACCAAUACCAAGCCACAACCAUCUCUCCUGGAAAAAAUAAAUACUCUUACUUACCUCACA